AAAACCCUCAAACGGCAAACGGCUAGAGGUCACGUGACAGGGCCUUGACGUCACGUUUGUCGUUAUCAACUCGUGUUUUUCAACGUCGAGAGACUGAUUUUCGCGUAAGUGAUUUACCUGAAGAGUUUUGAGUUUAAAAGUUAUGUUUGUGUCUCGUAAAAACACGAAAUUGAUAUGGAGAAAUUCUUUUUCUGCAAGUUUAGCCUUAAUUUUGGGGGAGAAGGAAAAUGAGGAGCAUUUUGUCGUCGUUUGAAAAGCACCACUGCUCACGUUUGUUAAAUUCAAUAUGGCGGCCGCUAGCAUGCUUUUGCAGUAUAUAACGAUGUCAUGGAUAUUUCACUCCUCGGUGGAUUCUGUGUACCACCUAAUACCUUGUUUACCUUAAAGAUGUCUUCGAUGAUUUUCAAUGCAUGGGCAGAUUUUCUUGGAUAAGCCAAGCUUAAUUUAGACUUUAUAAUGUUAAAAUUUCAGAGUAUAAUUUAGUCUUACGAAUGGCUCCCUUUCGUUGGCCUGAGGUCCGCCACGACCUGGCAUUGGCCACCGAGGUCGCAAAAUGUUUUACAGAGAGGCCACAGGAAUGGGAAGAUUUAGCCAAACGACAAGGCCAAGCGUUUUCUACCGAAACAAAGCAAGUUGAACUUAAAGGAAGAGGUUGCAGAGAACGGUGGACCGAUUACUUGACAGAUAUCAAAGUGAAGACGCCAAGGCCUUGAAAAGAACAUUGCAGUGAAAAGUCUGCCCAGUCAUCUGAAGAGGAUUCAAGUGCUAGAAGUGGGUCAGAUGAUGAACAGAAAACUCCUUUUAAAGAUUCAAAGAAGAAGAAGAAAGUCCAACGACGAGCUAGUAAAAUGUCUCCUAUGGAAAUGUUGCCAGAUAAAUACUCACAGAAGGCAGAGAUUAAGAGAGAUAAGCUUGAGAUACGUAGAAUGCAGCUGGAGUUUGCCAAAGAAAAACAUGCUGCUGAGGCGGAGGAGAGGAAAGCAAAAAUGGAGCUGGAAAUUGAAGAGAGAAGGGCAAUUCUGUCUCUCUUAAAAGGUCGGCUGUAAAAGAAAAACCUUUUGUGAGAGAACAUCAUGUUUCCAGUACUAUAUUAUUCAUGGCGCUGUUUUAUAUUUGAUAUUCCCUUGUUUAUUUCAUUUUGAACAAUGUAUUAAGAACACAACAUUGGACAUGAUACACUUUAUUUGCUUUGGCUUCUUUACAUUAUUGUUUAUCAGUCAUGUCAAACUAUUACAUUUAUUUGUCACUCUAGUAUGAAAUCCAGUGCAUCACUGGUUUGACAAAUAUGUUUCAAGAGAUGGUAGAUCUAGAUUAAAGUAGGUGCUUGUUUGGGAACCGUAUAGGAAUGUAUGACAGUUCACCAAAAUAGAAGCAACCAAGUAGUACUUUCCAACCGGUUGAAGCAAAACCUUGAGGUUUUUCUUAAAAUCUAAAUAAGCAAAGUUUUGAAAUAUUUUGCCAAAGUCCCAUUCAACACUUGCUCUAACUCUACUCAUUUGAGUGCUAAAUGUCUGCUCGUCAUUUGUCAGUUUUGCUCCACAAAAUGGUGAUAUUAUAUUGUAAGCUAGGCCAUAUUCAGGGUCACCAUAUAUGACAUGUUUCCCCUGUUGGUGUCUGAAAUCUUCUGAGUUUAUUGGCAAGACCACUGACCCCAAGCAUACAGGCAUCAUGCCUUCUUCCCUCUAUGGGGCCAAACAUGUGAGCGAUGAGGCCAUUGGGAGCUUGGACUGACUGAAAAUAAAAUAUGUAUAUGUAUUGGUAU
This is a long non-coding RNA of Stylophora pistillata, 1762 nucleotides long. Lineage: Eukaryota; Metazoa; Cnidaria; Anthozoa; Scleractinia; Pocilloporidae. The record is from RefSeq and is a predicted model, not a curated record.